This 726-nucleotide long non-coding RNA is filed under the name Rattus norvegicus (Norway rat). RNAcentral's name for it is "long non-coding RNA NONRATT010316". Lineage: Eukaryota; Metazoa; Chordata; Mammalia; Rodentia; Muridae. The record is from RNAcentral.
CCCGAGCUGCGAAUAGCUGCGCCACACCAGAUGAGCUGCUAGGAACGCCGAGGGUGCCAGGGAAUGAACGUGCUUAUUUCUGACUUCUGAGAGGAUAUAAUCCAAAUGACAGAUACCCAAUAGGCCCAAGGUUCAGCGCUUGGAAAGCAGCAAGACUCGAAGCCACCUGCGGUUGGCGAUGGAAAAUGCAGCAUUGCUUCAAGCCUUUACUUCAUGUCUCUACUUUCCUGCUAUGAUGGAUUAUACCUUGGAAUGGUGACACUAUUGACGCCUCACCUGCUGUUCCGGAGGAGGUGAGUCUGGGAGGAAUCUGCAGACCAGCUCCACAGUGGACACCGGAAGCAGUGAAAACCGAUUUCGCUCACAUAGUGUUACUGAGAAAAGAAUCCAAAGGGAGGACUUCCUUCCUAAGGAAGAGACGGUUUUCCCUGGCGUUGGAAGAGAAAACUCCACAGUGAGUCUUUGCCUGAGCUCCAUGCACCGAGAGAGCUCUGUAAAUCGCUACAGAAAGUUUUGGCUGCUGGAGACCUUGAAACUCACUCCACUGACAAGAUAAUGCCGAGGAUCCCUGGAAACGAAGCCAUAGGAAUGGUAGAUGCUCUUGGAAUUCUUACCUCUGGGAUAUCUUAAUUCUCCUCCUCUGUUCUUCAGUAUUUGGUCAGCAGUUGUCUAUUUACUGGAUCUUCACUGAUAUAAGUAUCCUGGUUGGGAAACUGAGAGGAAGAG